RNAcentral lists this ribosomal RNA (2308 nucleotides) under human metagenome. Its description in RNAcentral is "bacterial LSU rRNA". It matches the Rfam family "Bacterial large subunit ribosomal RNA", at positions 14 to 2348 of the family's 2925-position model. The record is from RNAcentral.
AGAGCGUAGGGCGGAUGCCUUGGCACUAAGAGCCGAUGAAGGACGUGAUAAGCUGCGAUAAGCUGCGGGGAAGAGCAAAUAUCUAUUGAUCCGCAGAUUUCCGAAUGGGGAAACCUACUGCAGAAGACCUGCAGUGACUGUGCGUAAAUCCAUAGCGUACAGCCGGGAACCCGCUGAACUGAAACAUCUAAGUAGGCGGAGGAAGAGAAAACAACAGUGAUUCCGUAAGUAGUGGCGAGCGAACACGGAAGAGCCCAAACCGCGGUGCGUGCACCGCGGGGUUCGGACUGCAUAAGGGGAUUGAAUGGUUACCGGAAGGACUUUGGAAAAGUCCGCCACAGAGGGUGAAAGCCCCGUACGGGAAAACGAUUCGAAACUCGGCAGGAUCCAGAGUACCACGAGACACGUGAAACCUUGUGGGAAUACGGGGGGACCACCCCCUAAGGCUAAAUACUACUUAGUGACCGAUAGUGCAUAGUACUGUGAAGGAAAGGUGAAAAGGACCCCGGGAGGGGAGUGAAAAAGAACCUGAAACCCUAUGUUUACAUGCAGUGGAAGUGCGAUACAUGAACGCACAACCGCGUACUUUUUGUAGAACGGUCCGGCGAGUUGCCGGUGCUGGCAAGGUUAAGGACUACAGGUCCGGAGCCGAAGGGAAACCGAGUCUUAAUAGGGCUUACAGUCAGCAUCGGCAGACCCGAAACCGGGUGAUCUAUCCAUGUCCAGGUUGAAGUUCCCGUAAAAGGGAAUGGAGGACCGAACACACAUCCGUUGAAAAGGGUGGUGAUGAGGUGUGGAUAGGGGAGAAAUUCCAAUCGAACCCGGAGAUAGCUGGUUCUCCUCGAAAUAGCUUUAGGGCUAGCCUCGACUUAGUCAGACGGAGGUAGAGCACUGAAUUCCUGAGGGGGCGUCAAAGCCUACCAAGGGAUAUCAAACUGCGAAUGCCGCACUGAUGAUGGUCGGGAGUCAGACUGUACGAGAUAAGUUGGACAGUCAAAAGGGAAAGAGCCCAGACCUACAGCUAAGGUCCCAAAAUACGUGUUAAGUGGAAAAGGAUGUGGGAUUUCGAAGACAGCUAGGAUGUUGGCUUAGAAGCAGCCACACAUUCAAAGAGUGCGUAAUAGCUCACUAGUCGAGAGGUCCUGCGCCGAAAAUUUCCGGGGCUAAAACACGAUACCGAAGCUUAGGAAUGUAGCAAUACAUUGGUAGAGGAGCAAUCUCAGAGUGCCGAAGCGUUACCGUAAGGAAGCGUGGAGUUCUGAGAAGAGAGAAUGCCGGAAUGAGUAGCGAGAAUGAUGUGAGAAUCAUCAUGGCCGAAUAUCCAAGGAUUCCAGGGUAAAGCUGAUCUGCCCUGGGUAAGUCGGGACCUAAGGCGAGGGAGAAAUCCGUAGUCGAUGGACAGCAGGUUCAUAUUCCUGCACCUGACAUGAUCAGAACUGUGGGGACACAGGAACGAAACCGGACCCGGGAGAGCAAAGACCGGGCGAAGCGAAGUUAGGAGUGCGGUAGGCAAAUCCGCCGCACAAUCCGAAAGCGUGAUAGGGAGCGAAAAAUAAGUAGCGAAGCCGGUGGAGGGACUGUCGAGAAAAGCCGCUAUUGUAUCAUGUCAGCCCGUACCGCAAACCGACACAGGUGGAUGAGGAGAGAAUCCUAAGGCCGGCGGGAGAAGCAUUGUUAAGGAACUCGGCAAAAUGACCCCGUAACUUCGGGAGAAGGGGUGCCAUCCUCCGGGAUGGCCACAGAAAAUAGGCUCAAGCAACUGUUUAGCAAAAACACAGGUCUAUGCGAAACCGAAAGGUGAGGUAUAUGGGCUGACGCCUGCCCGGUGCUGGAAGGUUAAGAGGAGAGGUUAGCGCAAGCGAAGCUUUGAAUUUAAGCCCCAGUAAACGGCGGCCGUAACUAUAACGGUCCUAAGGUAGCGAAAUUCCUUGUCGGGUAAGUUCCGACCCGCACGAAAGGCGUAAUGAUUUGAGCGCUGUCUCAACAAUGCACCCGGUGAAAUUGAAGUACCAGUGAAGAUGCUGGUGACCUGCGCCAGGACGGAAAGACCCCAUGGAGCUUUACUCCAGCUUGAUACCGGGAUUCGGUGUUACUCGUACAGGAUAGGUGGGAGGCUAAGAAGGAAGGACGCCAGUCUUUCCGGAGCCGCUGUUGGGAUACCACCCCUGUGGCACUGGAUUUCUAACCUACAUCCGUAAUCCGGAUGGGGGACAAUGUCAGGUGGGGAGUUUGACUGGGGCGGUCGCCUCCGAAAGAGUAUCGGAGGCGCUCAAAGGUUCCCUCAGAAUGGUUGGAAACCAUUCGAAGA